AGGCCAUGGUGUGGACAUCGUUAGAGCAAGUCCUUGUACCCUCUCUCAUGCUUCGUAUAAAGACUCAGAAUCCAACUGCAUGAAAGAAGUGAUGUCAUUCCUCAUCUU
This 108-nucleotide small nucleolar RNA is filed under the name Theobroma cacao (cacao). RNAcentral describes it as "Plant small nucleolar RNA R71". It matches the Rfam family "Plant small nucleolar RNA R71". Rfam says of the family: R71 is a member of the C/D box family of snoRNAs containing the C (UGAUGA) and D (CUGA) box motifs. Multiple nearly identical copies of this snoRNA have been identified in Arabidopsis, and it is thought to function as a 2'-O-ribose methylation guide for 18S ribosomal RNA. The record is from Rfam by way of RNAcentral. Lineage: Eukaryota; Viridiplantae; Streptophyta; Magnoliopsida; Malvales; Malvaceae.